UACGUAGGGCGCAAGCGUUGUCCGGAAUUAUUGGGCGUAAAGAGCUCGUAGGCGGUCUGUCGCGUCGGUUGUGAAAACCCAAGGCUCAACCUUGGGCCUGCAAUCGAUACGGGCAGACUAGAGUACUGCAGGGGGAGACUGGAAUUCCUGGUGUAGCGGUGGAAUGCGCAGAUAUCAGGAGGAACACCGGUGGCGAAGGCGGGUCUCUGGGCAGUAACUGACGCUGAGGAGCGAAAGCGUGGGGGAGCGAACAGG
RNAcentral lists this ribosomal RNA (255 nucleotides) under uncultured bacterium. RNAcentral describes it as "partial 16S ribosomal RNA". It matches the Rfam family "Bacterial small subunit ribosomal RNA", at positions 524 to 776 of the family's 1533-position model. The record is from RNAcentral.